This 553-nucleotide ribosomal RNA is filed under the name Musca domestica vicina. RNAcentral describes it as "partial 16S ribosomal RNA". It matches the Rfam family "Bacterial large subunit ribosomal RNA", at positions 1797 to 2619 of the family's 2925-position model. Lineage: Eukaryota; Metazoa; Arthropoda; Insecta; Diptera; Muscidae. The record is from RNAcentral.
CGCCUGUUUAACAAAAACAUGUCUUUUUGAAUUAUUUAAAAAGUCUAACCUGCCCACUGAAUUAUUUUAAAUGGCCGCAGUAUCCUAACUGUGCAAAGGUAGCAUAAUCAUUAGUCUUUUAAUUGAAGGCUGGUAAGAAUGGUUGGACGAGAUAUUAACUGUUUCAUAAAAAUUUAUAAUAGAAUUUUAUUUUUUAGUCAAAAAGCUAAAAUAAAUUUAAAAGACGAGAAGACCCUAUAUAUCUUUAUAUUUAGAUAAUUACAAUUUUGUGGAUUUUUUUUGUUGUGAUUGUUGAUAAUAUUUUAUUGGGGUGAUAUUAAAAUUUAAAAAACUUUUAAUUAAUUAAAUCAUUAAUUUAUGAAUAAUUGAUCCGUUAUUAACGAUUAAAAAUUUAAGUUACUUUAGGGAUAACAGCGUAAUUUUUUUGGAGAGUUCAUAUCAAUAAAAAAGAUUGCGACCUCGAUGUUGGAUUAAGAGAUAUAUUUUGGUGUAGUCGCUAAAAUGUUAAGUCUGUUCGACUUUUAAAUUCUUACGUGAUCUGAGUUCAGACCGG